GCGCACCCGGCGCCCCGCCCCGCGCAGCCUCCUCCCGCCCCGCGGCGCUCGGUGGAGGAAUCGUCUAGAAGGAGUCUCACUUUGAGAAAAUCCCCUGUCUGGCAUCCACAUGGUGAAAUCACAAGGCCAAAGAGACAAGAAAUGUGGCUGUGACAAAGAAUAUGGCAAAGAAGGAGCUGCUGCAUCCUACAGGACUCAUCAGAUGCACUGUCAGGACCCAGCCAAGAACGUCGGAUGUCAACCUGUAGGAACGCCCGCAGUGCACUCCUGUGAGCCGGCGAGGAGCGCUGAGUGCGGAGAAGCGGAAAUCGCUGAGGGCGGUGAGAACAGGUUAGGGAGCAGGUGCAGAAUAAUGUGGACUCUUCCCUCUUUUGCUCUGACAAGUUUAAACUUUAAGUGAUUUGGGGGCAGAGAUCACAUCUAUUACCUCCCUUUUGUAGUUUCUAAGAGCUUAUUAGGUAAUAUUUUAAAAUGCUUGAUGAUUAGAGUGAAGAAAUGUCACACAGGGCCUCAGAGCAACCUGGGGCCUCUGGGAGCGGCCAGGAUGACUUUGGAGAGAAGCCUCUGUCGUCUUCACCUCCUCAGAAGUGAUGGAUGGAGUCUGAUCAUAAUUAAUUUUAAUAGAGGCUUGAUGUGCUGUGAUAGAAUCUUGGCCAUUCAAAUGAAGUAGAACCAAGCGGCCAGCUUGAACAAAAAUCGCCUCUGUUCUGUCUCGUCCACUGGCAUUAGAACAAGUCAAGUCUACUUAAGAAAUAUUUCGGGAGUGAUUUUAUGCCUAACACUACAGAAAAGAAUAGGAAAGGACUCUGUCUGACAUUCCCUGUCAGAGCUGGACAGACCAGACCAGAAAUAUAAUAGAUGCAUAAUACGGACAGCCUGCGCAGGUCUGACGUGCAGCAUCACCAAGUUGUGCAGAUGGUCUGGAAUCCGUGCAUUCUUGCCACAGUUGUUUCUUAAGUGUCUAUUAAGUGCCAGACAGUCUAGCUGCUGGGAGGACCACAGCACUUAAGGCAGAGGAAGUCCCUGGCUUUGGGGAACAUUCUAGUGCUUAAAGCAAAUGAAUUUAUUACCUCUAUCAUUUCAGGUAAUGAUAACAAAGCAGGCUAAGGGGAGGAAGAGAAAUUGGGGUCCAGAUAGGGAGCAUCAACCGCAGGCCUCUCUGAGGUUACCUGGAGGAAUGAAGUGAGCAAGGGAGAACGGCAGGUACAAAGGGGAAAGGAGCGUCCAGCAGCCAAGGCCUGGGUGGCUGGAGUGGGGUGGGGAAGUGGAGAGGGGCAGCAGCAGGCAAUGGGCUGAGUCAGGUGGGGCCUUGCAGAAACUGAUAGGCCAUUCAGGUUCCUGGGAGCCGACACUGAGAUAGACAGCUGCGUGCAGCCCGAGCGUCCGCCCAGCCCUGUGAGCAAGUGCGGGGUAGGGCUGGGCAGCAGGAGGUGGGGUGUCACCUCCACAGGGACCCCAGAUGAUCCUUCUUGAGACUCUGGGGUUGGGAUGACCCAUCAGAAUUUUUUUUACAGAGACAAAGAGCAGGCCCUUGUGAGCUGCCCUCUAUGGACAGCUCCUGGGAGCUGUGGUGGGAGAGCCGCGUGGUGGAGGGCAGCUGACAAGCAGAAACCCCAGAAGCUGGCGUGAGGGUGCCUCAGUCCUGAAGGGGGACCUGGUGGCACGGCACAGCAUCCACAAAGGGCCACCCAUGGUUUGUUCUCAGAACUUUCCUUCAAGUGAUGCACUUGUAUUUCCUGUGGGCAGCAGGAAACAGGCUCAGGAGGCGUGGGCAGCCUGUGGAAGAUCACAUACCCAGCAGACGUUGGAUUUGAACUCUCUGAAUUCAAAGACCAUAACUUGAAAACAUUGAGACAAAAUACACGUGCAUAAAAUGUAUCCCUUUAAGAGCUAAGUGUGCCGUGGCAUUAAGGAGCUCCACCUCAUGUAACCGUCACUACCAUCCGUCUUGAGGAAUUGUUUACAUCUUGCAAAAUGAAGCUCUGUGCCCAUGAAAUCAUAACCUCUCAUUUCCCCUCCCCCAGUCCCUCGUAGCGACUUUUCUCCUUUCUGUCUUUAUGAGUUUGACCAUCUAGGUGCCUCCUGUGAGUGAGCUCACACAGUAGUGUCCUUCUGUGACUCAUUCCCUUAGCAUGAUGUCUCAGAGGCCCAGGACGUCACAGCACACGUCAGACUUUUCAAGGCUGAGCAUCCAUCCUUUGGCUAUACCAUGGGUUGUGUAUUUCUUCAUCUGGUGAUGAUGAAUGGCUGUUUCUGCCUCUUACCUAGUGUGCAUAAUACUGUCAUGAACAUGGUGUUCAAAUAUCUCAAGAUCCUCCCUCCCUUCCGCGCUGCCUCUCUUCCAUUCCCUCCCGUUCCCCACCCACCAUAUCCCGAGAGCUGUUAUCCAAAUGGGUGUGAAGUGGUUUUACAUCAUGCACUUUUCCUUCCACUGUGCUGUAGCUCACAAAGGAAUCUGAGAGCGUGAAUCCAGUUCCUCCAUUCCACUUGUGAGUGCAAAUGGUGACAACACUUGGUCAAGACUCAAUUCAAUUAAUGUCUCUGGAUUCACAGUGAACUACAGAAAGUCACAUUCCAAUAUUCCCUAAGGCAUGCAGACAACCAGAGAAUGAAAGUUUGUCACGGUGUGCAGAAUCAGUUGUGUUGAUUCGUAGAGCAUUUCAUCUCUACAACAAAAUGGGUUAGACAAGCCAGUUGCGAAGGAAAGAGGUUCAUUUCAGCUCACAGUUUGGGAGGUGGGCUCCAUUUGGUCUGCACCUGGUGAUGGAAGAGACUUGCUGGCAGAGUCCCUGGGGGUACAGGGUAGCGCCUGGUGAAAGGGAGGGUGUGCGUCUGUCUGUCUGUCUCUCCUUAUAAAGCCACUGUGAUUUGAUCAGGAGGUUACCACCCUAACAACCUCCUCCUCUAAUCACUUCCCAAGGGCCCCACUUUCAGACACCGUAAUUGGAUUAAGUUUACGCCCUCUUAAUGCCAUUAAUAGAGGACUUUGGGGACCAAACCUUUAACACAUAGGCCACUGGGGGACAGUCAACAUCCAAGCUAAUAUCCAAACCAUAGCAGCAGAUUUGAACAUUUUUGCUCAAGGAGCCAAAAAUAGUUUAGAAGAUUCUGCUCCUCAUUGCACAUUUUAAAAUGGAUAUCUAUAAUUUUAUCAUAAAUUUAAAUACUUUCAAAGAAUGUAAUUUCUAGCAUAUUGUAAAUAUUGACAUUUUAAAAUAAACCUGUGACAUCACUCUUUUAAAUGUGUCUAAGUGGAAUCUAAAUCCCAUCACAGUUUACUUCCACCAUCAUCCAAUUAAGAAAUAUACAAACAAGCUCAUCUUUAGCAAGCAAAAAGUGCAUUCUGUUUUCUCCUUGAAAUUUUAUUUCCACUCUACUUCCCCUUCAGAAUUUUAUGCUAAUGUAAUAAUAUUAUGAUAGAAAUAUCUUUUACUGAAUAUUCCAUAGUGCUUUUAUCUAGCAUAUGUAUAAAAAUUAAAAUUUGCAUGCUUGAAAAAUCCUGUA
Non-coding RNA from Oryctolagus cuniculus (rabbit), 3504 nucleotides. The record is from RefSeq and is a predicted model, not a curated record. NCBI's taxonomy places the organism in Eukaryota, Metazoa, Chordata, Mammalia, Lagomorpha, Leporidae.